RNAcentral lists this transfer RNA (76 nucleotides) under Bacillota bacterium. Its description in RNAcentral is "Firmicutes bacterium (anaerobic digester metagenome) tRNA-Lys". It matches the Rfam family "tRNA". From Rfam's summary of the family: Transfer RNA (tRNA) molecules are approximately 80 nucleotides in length. Their secondary structure includes four short double-helical elements and three loops (D, anti-codon, and T loops). Lineage: Bacteria; Bacillati; Bacillota. The record is from RNAcentral.
GAGCCAUUAGCUCAGUCGGUAGAGCACUGGACUUUUAAUCCAGGUGUCCCGCGUUCGAAUCGCGGAUGGCUCACCA